UAGUAGCAGGUGGGCAAAGCAU
RNAcentral lists this unclassified non-coding RNA (22 nucleotides) under Mus musculus (house mouse). RNAcentral's name for it is "oocyte_clustered_small_RNA1674". The record is from RNAcentral. Lineage: Eukaryota; Metazoa; Chordata; Mammalia; Rodentia; Muridae.